UCCUACGGGAGGCAGCAGUGGGGAAUAUUGCACAAUGGGGGAAACCCUGAUGCAGCCAUGCCGCGUGUGUGAAGAGGGCCUUCGGGUUGUAAAGCACUUUCAGUUGUGAGGAAAAGUUAGUAGUUAAUACCUGCUAGCCGUGACGUUAACAACAGAAGAAGCACCGGCUAACUCCGUGCCAGCAGCCGCGGUAAUACGGAGGGUGCGAGCGUUAAUCGGAAUUACUGGGCGUAAAGCGCACGCAGGCGGUUUGUUAAGCUAGAUGUGAAAGCCCCGGGCUCAACCUGGGAUGGUCAUUUAGAACUGGCAGACUAGAGUCUUGGAGAGGGGAGUGGAAUUCCAGGUGUAGCGGUGAAAUGCGUAGAUAUCUGGAGGAACAUCAGUGGCGAAGGCGACUCCCUGGCCAAAGACUGACGCUCAUGUGCGAAAGUGUGGGUAGCGAACAGGAUUAGAUACCCUGGUAGUCCACACCGUAAACGCUGUCUACUAGCUGUGUGUGUCUUUAAGACGUGCGUAGCGAAGCUAACGCGCUAAGUAGACCGCCUGGGGAGUACGGCCGCAAGGUUAAAACUCAAAUGAAUUGACGG
Molecule: ribosomal RNA, 587 nt
Filed under: uncultured bacterium
Lineage: Bacteria
Description: bacterial SSU rRNA
Rfam family: Bacterial small subunit ribosomal RNA
Source: RNAcentral